Molecule: RNA transcript, 4017 nt
Organism: Hemibagrus wyckioides
Lineage: Eukaryota; Metazoa; Chordata; Actinopteri; Siluriformes; Bagridae
Gene: znf280d
Gene name: zinc finger protein 280D
Exons: 21
Source: RefSeq, a predicted model, not a curated record
GAGAGAGAGAGAGAGAGUAUGCGUCUGAUGCAUCAACAAAAAAACACGCUUCCUCUCUUUUCCCAUCAGGCACCGGGGCUGUUCAUGCUAGUAGCUAUGCCUGUUUCUUUGAACCACCUCCGAUGUGAUUUGUAAACAGGUUGUGUGUGAGGUCCAACCAUGUCUGAGCUGUUUAUGGAGUGUGAGGAGGAGGAGUUGGAGCCAUGGCAGAGGGCAAUACCGGAAAUCAGUUUGAUUGACGAUGACGAUGAUGACGAACCGAUAUUCGUCGGGGAAAUCUGCAGCUCCAAGCCGACUCCUAACGUCCGAGCAGGUGUUGGCUAUCAGCGUAACCAACCAAAUGUCACAUUCCAACGGGUCACUCCACUGACGUCACCCCAAAAGGCUGGUCAGGCUCAGAUAAACUCCGCCAAACAGUCUCCACAACUCCCUGUCCGAGGUUCCUCACAGCCGGUCUUCAUCCCUGUCAGCUCUCAAUCAGCACCAAUGCAGGCUGGACCCAGAUUACUAAACACCGUCUCCCCUCAGCCUAUCAUCAUCAAUAAUCAGGGUUAUAUAGUGGCGUCACCACAAAACCUCAACAAUAAUAACUCGUCUUUCAUCACAUCCAUGGGCUCUCCGUAUCCACAAGGAACAUCGUUCACUGUUGUGCCAGGUCAGCCAAUGGUGCAGCAGGUCACCGCACCGCCUAAACCAGUGCCAGGGGUCAUCCACCGGCCCCAAGUGCAGUUAAUCCACAACAACGUGGUGACACUGUCUAACGUCCAGGGCCCUGCUGACAUCUCCACCCAGUCUCACUCCAGCACCAGCCCACACUCUAUCCAGCACAGCCCUCAAAGCAAAUCCAGCUCCCUGAUCUCUUCCAAACACGUCCCACAUCCUACUCUACAAGCUGUGAACAACCGGGAUAACGGGAAAAUGAAACGUAGCACCCUGCCCGAGUCGAACAACGGAACGUCUAAAAGAACUAAAAUCGACAUGGAGAACGAGAGCCCCUUGCCUAGGAAGUGUCCUAAAUGUCAUGUUCACUUUAACUUGAUGGAUCCAUUGAAAUCUCACAUGCAGAUCUGCUGCCCAAAUUUAAUGGACACCACCCUCCCGUCAACCUCAAAGACGGACCGAGUCGCCAUGCCAGUGCGAUUGUGUGAAGCGGAGCGAGGGAAGCUCAUCAUGCUGGUGUCGGAGUUUUACUACGGGAAAUGCGAGGGGGAUCAGUCUGCUGCACGUGAGCAGAAGUCCAACACGACGUUCAAGUGCAACAGCUGUUUAAAAAUCCUCAAGAACAAUAUUAGGUUCAUGAAUCACAUGAAGCAUCAUCUGGAGCUGGAAAAACAGAACAGUGAGAGUUGGGAGAGUCACACUACAUGUCAGCACUGUUAUCGGCAGUAUUCCACCCCGUUCCAGCUGCAGUGCCACAUAGAAAGCGCCCACAGCCCCUACGAGUCCACCACUAAUUGUAAGAUUUGUGAAUUGGCCUUUGAGACAGAACAAGUGCUGUUGGAACACAUGAAGGACAAUCACAAGCCAGGGGAGAUGCCGUACAGCUGUCAGGUCUGCAACUACCGAUCGUCAUUCUUCUCAGACGUAGAGAACCAUUUCCGCACCGUCCACGAAAACACUAAAGACCUCCUCUGUCCUUUCUGCCUUAAAGUCCUGCGCAGUGCCCACAUGUACAUGCAGCAUUACAUGAAACACCAGAAAAAAGGAAUUCAACGCUGCGGAAAGUGCAGAUUGAAUUUUCUCACCUACAAGGAGAAAGUGGAACACAAAGCACUUCAUCACCGGACUUAUAAAAAACCAAAAAGCCUUGAAGGACUUCCUCCAGGAACGAAGGUGACAAUUCGAGCUUCACUCAGUGGAGGAUCUACGAUGUGUCCCUCCGCUCCUGGCAAGUCGUACGUCAACCUCAUCCCCACGAGCCCAGACACGGUCAAACCGAAUGCUCACAAGUCCAACUCCAACAUAGGAAAGAUGAAGACAAACCAGAGCAAUAAGAACCGCACAUCCUUACCCAACACUGAGCUCAGAGGCCUGAAACUUGUCCCCGGAGUGCACAAAUGCAUUGAGUGUCAAAAUGAAGUCACGGAACCAUACAGCCAUUACCCUAUAUCACUGAAAUGUUUUGUAUGCAAGUAUCGGACAAGCUGUCAGAAAGCUUUCAGGCGACACAGGCUGAGGUUUCACAGCAGCUCCUCAAAGAUACGAUUAAACAAGGUGAAUAGACCUCUGCGUGGUGUACGGAGUCUGACUCUGGUCUGUUUGAACUGUGAGUUCCUGGCCGACGCAUCUGACGCCAACCGCAUGUGUGAACAUCUAAUCAGCAGACCCAAUCACAGCUGCCAGGUCAUUUUAGAAACAGAUGCAGAUUCGACAGUGGAGAGGUCGACUCUUUGCGACAAUGAUAAGGUUGAGCCCCAAAGUCCGAAAGCAGAAGUGAGCAGUUCUGACAGUUCUGUUGAAACCAAAGUAUCCUCCGAGAUAUCAGGGCCGAAUGAAAUGGAAUCUCUGAGCAUUGCUAACGUAUGGAGCGAAGGAUGCGUCACGGAGCCGAUUAGAAAUGAGGUUACCCCGAUGCAGACUGUUCACCAAGAUGCAGAAGACAAGGCGGAACCUGAAAGCGUGGAGCCUACAGCCGAGAACGGCUCAGUGAGGACAGAACCUCAGGACACUGAUGCUCCCGUCAGCCCUCGCAGCCCAAUCGAAAACGGAGGCGGAGUCAGAGCAGACGACUUCCUGAAUAAAGGUGAUAAAGCAGAGUCCGUAAGUGUGCACUCCCUGCUGGAACCUCUCACUCCAUCCAAGGUCCUCGAAGGCGACGAAGCCGAGAAUGGACCAGAACCGAAGAAAGACCUUUCACCUACCUGUAAAAGAGACAUUGAGGAGGAGGAGACCUCAGGCCUGAUAAGCACCUAGAAAAUUUUAGCUUCAGAGUAGCAUAGGACAAGAACACCUCCAUUUUUACUUUUACAUAUUUUUUAAUCUAGCUAUAAAAACGUACUUAACGGUUGUUACUUAAUGUAAGACUUUCAGCAAUUAUGGAGUGUUCAUCUCUUGGAAGUGACAAGGAAAAAAAAACAUGCUGUUUGUGAUGAAACUUGAAUUAAGGAAGACUGAUUGUGUUACUGUGCUCCAGUACAAAGUAUUUGCCUUUUAUACAGAAUCAUUGUCCAUUUCAGAAACAAACUGAGAGACUGUGAAAUGAACUUUUACCAUAGUCAGCAUUGCUUCCCCCCAAUGUGUAAUACCAUUAACUGCCACACCAGGAACCUGAAUUAUCAUGGACUUUAGGUAAGAUUGUGUCUCAGUACACCGUAUUAUACCACGGUGUACCUGACUGAUCAACAAGCCUUCUCCACAAAACGGAGCUUUAUUGUUUUCAGUGUGAAAUAUUCUUUUAUAAACUUCUUUUAAAUAGGAAAAGAAGAUUCUAUCAGUAUCACUUACACUGUUCUAGUUAUUCAUGCUGGACAAAGGCUCUGGGUUUUAAAGCAUUCCAUUAACUUGAUCUCACUCAGUUUCACUGUGAAGCUGCACAUGAUCCAGAAGCUACACACGAUCCAGAAGCUACACACGAUCCAGAAGCUACACACGAUCCAGAAGCUACACACAAUCCAGAAGCUACACACGAUCCAGAGGGAUGCCAAACAAACGGUUUAUUUGAACGAAAAGACACUUCAUGACUGCACACCUACAAAAUGACACGAUUUAAGUUUCAGUCAGUUUUCAGGUUUCAGAAAUUUGGAGGAAUAAUUGUUGUUUGAAUUUUUUAUAUUAUUGUUUUUUGUGUGUAAAAUCAAUUCAAAUAUUUCCUUUCAUUAUUAAAUAUUUACACAUGCCAUAUUCUCAUUUUGACGGUAUAAAUCUGUUACUCCUCUUUGGAGCCUUUUAUGUAAAAGUUUGUAAGUUACUGCGUCAUGUCUUUAAAAUUGUGUGAUACACUAUAUUGCCAAAAGUUUUGCGACACCCCUCCAAAUCAUUGAGUUCAGGGGUUGGGCUUGGCCCCUUAUUUCCAGUGAA